Molecule: ribosomal RNA, 459 nt
Filed under: uncultured bacterium
Lineage: Bacteria
Description: partial 16S ribosomal RNA
Rfam family: Bacterial small subunit ribosomal RNA
Source: RNAcentral
CCUACGUGAGGCAGCAGUGAGGAAUAUUGGUCAAUGGCCGGAAGGCUGAACCAGCCAAGCCGCGUGAAGGACGAAGGUUCCAAGCAUUUUAAACUUCUUUUUGCAAGGGACAAAAUCAGGCUCGAGAGCCUGACCGAGGGUACUUGAAGAAAAAGCAUCGGCUAACUCCGUGCCAGCAGCCGCGGUAAUACUGAGGAUGCGAGCGUUAUCGGGAUUAAUUGGGUUUAAAGGGUGCGUAGGGGGGCUGUUAAGUCAGCGGUAAAAGCCCGGGGCUAAACCCCGGCGAGCCGUUGAAACUGGCUGUCUUGAGAUGUCGAGAGGCAUGCGGAAUGCGCAGUGUAGCGGUGAAAUGCUUAGAUAUUGCGCAGAACUCCGAUUGCGAAGGCAGCAUACCGGCGGCGAUCUGACGCUGAGGCACGAAAGCGUGGGUAGCGAACAGGAUUAGAUACCCUGGUAGUC